This is a long non-coding RNA of Ornithodoros turicata, 849 nucleotides long. RefSeq lists it as uncharacterized. The record is from RefSeq and is a predicted model, not a curated record. The transcript has 4 exons. NCBI's taxonomy places the organism in Eukaryota, Metazoa, Arthropoda, Arachnida, Ixodida, Argasidae.
GUGUUUUGAUGCCAGAGCUGACUGAUGGGUGUACAUGGCUCCUUUGUACGUUCUUCCUCUGAAAAAAAUAAACGUGUUUUGAUGCCAGAGCUGACUGAUGGGUGCACAUGGUUCCUUCGUAUGUUCUUCAUUUGAAAAAAUAAACUUGGUUUGAUGCCAGAGCUGAGUGAUGGGUGCACAUGGUUUCUUCGUAUGUUCUUCCAUUGAAAAAAUAAACGCUGGGGUCCUGACAACGCCCCCUCCACGACUCCAAGGACGAUGACAUCACCGAGACAUCACACAACAUUCCUGGACUUGACCUAUUGACAGCGGGACCUCCUGAUCCGGACGUCAUUCUAGACACGUGCAAAAGCUCCAAGCAGUCAUUGUCACCCCUUAGUCCUGACAAAGGCGGAGCUUCCGCCGCAACGUCGACCGUUCUUUCCAAAGUUUCAUAGUAUAUCGCCCGUUAACUUUUCACAUGUAAAUAAAUAACUUUCCCCCUUUUUCUUACUUCCUAUACCUUCGUUGUGUGCCUCCCGUUUUCUUUCAGCACAUAUUUAUAUAUAUUGUGAGGGAGAACCAUCGCCACGCUCAUCGCCAACGGCCAUUUAGCGCGAGCAAGGGUAUGAAGAUCGCGAGUUCACUUGCGGACUAAAGUGAGGCGCUGCGAGCCAUUCGCGUCAUCAAACGUCAUGAAAUGUCAAAAUUUUUACGUCGAAGCGCGAGUUCUCUGCCGAGAGCAUCCCAUUGGCUCCUGCGGCCGCUCCCCCAGUAUCCGAGCGCUCAUUGGUCGGUUUGGAAUUAUAACAUUUUCGUGGCGCGAGUAAGCCGGCACCGCCGGCUUACGCGCCGUAACGUUCGCCUAAA